UGCUUAGGUGGGACUUAUUAUCUAUUAUCAUGACAUUUGACGUUGAAACUUGAAAAAAUUAUCUAAGACAACAUCAUGUGAUCUAUUAUGUGACCUUGUCUCCCUUAGGUUUUAUGGCUCCUAUACAACUCAUGGCCCUCCCUCACUGAUCAUUGUAGUUGCCGACUGUUUGUCACACAUCCUUUCAUCUAUAUAUAUAUAUAUUCGUCGUUGUAAGCAUUUAGGACCAACACAAAAUCAUUCACAACCCAAAAGCAUUUGAAAUUCAGAGACCUAUACACAAAGUUCUUCACUUUUAGACCAAUAUCUUCUUUUCACAUCACUUUGAGUGUUUGGACUUCAAACUCCAACUUCCGCAUAUAAAAUGCCGAUGUCCCUACCAGUAAUAUAGGCUUAUAUAUGUGAUCAGUCCUUGCAGUUACAACUACUUUUGGUAUUAGUCCGUGUAAUUUUUUUUGUUGCCUUUUGAUCCCUGCGGUUUCAAAGCAUUUUGAUAUUAGUCCCUCCUUACUUCAAAUGUUAAAAAUCUAGAUACAGUUAAUGGAGUGCCACGUGACCCAAUCAAUUAAAGCCACGUGGCAUAGUAAAAAGCAUAACUUUUUUUAUUAUUACUUUUACCAUUGUCAUUUAUUUAUAUAAUUCAUAUUAUUAUUAUUAUUAUUAUUAUUAUUAAUUAUUAAUAAACAAACGAAGAAGAAC
RNAcentral lists this long non-coding RNA (699 nucleotides) under Trifolium pratense (red clover). RNAcentral's name for it is "long non-coding RNA (TPRA_LNC000795)". The record is from RNAcentral. Lineage: Eukaryota; Viridiplantae; Streptophyta; Magnoliopsida; Fabales; Fabaceae.